RNAcentral lists this long non-coding RNA (1005 nucleotides) under Oreochromis niloticus (Nile tilapia). RNAcentral's name for it is "lncRNA (ENSONIG00000028764.1)". Lineage: Eukaryota; Metazoa; Chordata; Actinopteri; Cichliformes; Cichlidae. The record is from RNAcentral.
AUGAACUUCUGUGUGGACAACACCGUACCCAUUAAAAAGGUAUGUUGUUUUUCUAACAACAAGCCAUGGAUAAAUCCAGAAAUUAAGGCUCUCCUCAAGGAGAAGAAGAGAGUCUUUAGAUCUGGGGACAAACAGGAGCUGAGAGUUGUCCAGAAGAAGCUGAAAUGGAAGAUAAGGCAAGGAAAGGAAAACUACAGGAGGAAGAUGGAAGAGCAGCUGCAACAGGACAUCAGAGGGGUUUGGAACAGCCUGAAGACAAUCUCAGGACAAAAACCAACCCCCCAGGUUGCAGGAGACUUGGGGUGGGUGAAUGACCUAAAUAAAUAUUUUAAUAGGUUUGAUCAAACACCCGCCCCUCCCACAGCAUCAUCCCCCCUGCUGCAAUCUCCUUCAUCUUCAGGGACUGCCUGUCCUUCAUCUCAGGACUUCACACCGCUCAGCUUCACACCUCCCAGCUCCCAGUCAUUACACCCACCCCCGGCUUCUAUGGACUCCAACAUACACACCCCUCCCCCAAAAUCCACUCUUUCUAUCUCAGCACUUCAAGUGAGGAAUGAGCUUCGCAAGACCAAGGUGCGGAAGGCUGCAGGUCCAGAUGGCGUCAGCUCCAGGCUCCUGAGAUGCUGCGCAGAUGAACUGUGUGGCAUCCUAGGAUAUCUGUUCAACCUGAGCCUGUCACUGGGGAAAGUACCACAGCUGUGGAAGACCUCCUGUGUGGUACCGGUACCAAAGACCUCCCAUCCCAAGGACCUCAGCAGCAACAGGCCGGUAGCCCUGACAUCGCAUCUGAUGAAGACCCUCGAGAGGUUGGUUCUAAACCAUCUGCGCCCCCUGGUGAGGUCUUCAUUGGAUCCGCUGCAGUUUGCUUACCAGCCUGGUAUUGGGGUGGAGGACGCCAUCAUCUACCUCCUGCACCGAGCUCUGACUCACCUGCAGAAGCCUGGAAGCACUGUGAGGAUCAUGUUCUUUGAUUUCUCCAGUGCUUUCAACACCAUCCAGCCAUGA